GAUGAAGAACGUAGCGAAAUGCGAUACGUAAUGUGAAUUGCAGAAUUCAGUGAAUCAUCGAGUCUUUGAACGCACAUUGCGCCCCCUGGUAUUCCGGGGGGCAUGCCUGUCCGAGCGUCAUUGCUGCCCUCAAGCACGGCUUGUGUGUUGGGCCUCCGUCCUCCUCCCGGGGGACGGGCCCGAAAGGCAGCGGCGGCACCGCGUCCGGUCCUCGGGCGUAUGGGGCUUCGUCACCCGCUCUUGUAGGCCCGGCCGGCGCUUGCCGACACAUCAAUCUUUUUUCCAGGUUGACCUCGGAUCAGGUAGGGAUACCCGCUGAACUUAAGCAUAUCAAUAAGCGGAGGA
This 345-nucleotide unclassified non-coding RNA is filed under the name soil metagenome. Its description in RNAcentral is "partial contains 5.8S ribosomal RNA, internal transcribed spacer 2, and large subunit ribosomal RNA". The stretch from base 1 to 120 matches the Rfam family "5.8S ribosomal RNA", at positions 35 to 154 of the family's 154-position model. The record is from RNAcentral.